This 205-nucleotide ribosomal RNA is filed under the name uncultured bacterium. RNAcentral describes it as "partial 16S ribosomal RNA". It matches the Rfam family "Bacterial small subunit ribosomal RNA", at positions 524 to 723 of the family's 1533-position model. The record is from RNAcentral.
UACGUAGGGUGCGAGCGUUGUCCGGAAUUAUUGGGCGUAAAGGGCUCGUAGGCGGUUUGUCGCGUCGGGAGUGAAAUCCAUUGGCUUAACUGGUGGCUUGCUUUCGAUACGGGCAGACUGGAGGUAUGCAGGGGAGAACGGAAAUUCCUGGGUGUAAGCGGUGAAAUGCGCAGGAUAUCAGGAGGAACACCGGUGGCGGAAGGCG